UGACAGUCCUCCCUGCACUCACUGUGCUAGCAAAGAUGUCCGGGAAGGACAGAAAAGAAUGUAAUGUGCAAUUAAAACAAGGGAGAGUGAUUAAUGGAGGCAAAAAUUAAUCACAAGGGCAGUGUCAAAGUUUGGUGGGACAACUGCAUGUUCAGAAGACACCUGAAAAAGGUGAAAUGAAGAACCAAGGAUCAUCUGAGCAAAGACUCAAGGACCAUUUGAACAAAGACAUCCACUUCUAUACCACAGAUGACUUGGCAUCUAUGGAGGAGUGGAGGUGAGCACCACUCUACCAUGUAGAGGAAGCGGCCACCGUGGAGGCUGGGCUUGUGGAGAUUCCUUCUGGAUGCCCUCAGAUCUGUCAUUAAUGGGGACAAAGCAGUAUCAACGGACUGCUCUAUCUCAUCUACCACUACCAGCUCCACCAUCCAGGGUACUGUUCUUGCCACUACAUCUACAAAGAAGAGGAAUGCAAUCUUGCAGUUAGAAAAGGCUGUCUCGCUGAACAUUUAUUCUCAUUCCUCUACCCAAAACUAAUGAAAAUGUGAAGUCUGAG
Molecule: long non-coding RNA, 556 nt
Filed under: Pan troglodytes (chimpanzee)
Lineage: Eukaryota; Metazoa; Chordata; Mammalia; Primates; Hominidae
Description: long non-coding RNA NONPTRT005811
Source: RNAcentral